CUAUAUAAUAGGUUUUCUCUGCUAAUAUUUUCCUGUUAAUUUUCUUUUUUAUCUAGGUUGUUUUUUUUUUUUUUUUGAAGGCACGUGAAGGUAGACAUCCUGAUAAAGUGGGUUUUACUCCUCUGGUGGCUGUUCCUCAGGAAGGACACAGUCUUCUAAUUCCCUGCAACCCUGGUGGAGCUGCCUGAACUCACAAUGAAGGGGGAUAGCAUUGACUUACAGGCUGUCGGGAGAGGAUGGUGAUUUCCAGGCAGACAAGAGCCUGGUGGCAGCUAAGUCCCUGAGAUCACAAGGUUCUUCUCAGGAAGCUGGAGGUCUGCAGGUCCUGUAGCUCCCACUGGCUGCAGGUGGAGGACGUGGUCUCGUUACUGAAUGGA
This 377-nucleotide long non-coding RNA is filed under the name Numida meleagris (helmeted guineafowl). RNAcentral describes it as "lncRNA (ENSNMEG00000012689.1)". Lineage: Eukaryota; Metazoa; Chordata; Aves; Galliformes; Numididae. The record is from RNAcentral.